GUGCUCGCUUCAGCAGCACAUAUACUAAAAUUGGAAUGAUAGAAGAUUAGCAUGGCCCCUGAGCAAGGAUGACAUGCAAAUUCGUGAAGCGUUCCAUAUUUUU
This is a small nuclear RNA of Callithrix jacchus (white-tufted-ear marmoset), 103 nucleotides long. Lineage: Eukaryota; Metazoa; Chordata; Mammalia; Primates; Cebidae. The record is from Ensembl.